GACGAACGCUGGCGGCGUGCUUAACACAUGCAAGUCGAACGGAAAGGCCCUGCUUUUGUGGGGUGCUCGAGUGGCGAACGGGUGAGUAACACGUGCGUAACCUGCCCUUGACUUUGGGAUAACUUCAGGAAACUGGGGCUAAUACCGGAUAGGAGCUCCUGCUGCAUGGUGGGGGUUGGAAAGUUUCGGCGGUUGGGGAUGGACUCGCGGCUUAUCAGCUUGUUGGUGGGGUAGCGGCUUACCAAGGCUUUGACGGGUAGCCGGCCUGAGAGGGUGACCGGACACAUUGGGACUGAGAUACGGCCCAGACUCCUACGGGAGGCAGCAGUGGGGAAUAUUGCACAAUGGGCGGAAGCCUGAUGCAGCAACGCCGCGUGCGGGAUGACGGCCUUCGGGUUGUAAACCGCUUUCGCCUGUGACGAAGCGUGAGUGACGGUAAUGGGUAAAGAAGCACCGGCUAACUACGUG
Molecule: ribosomal RNA, 468 nt
Filed under: uncultured bacterium
Lineage: Bacteria
Description: partial 16S ribosomal RNA
Rfam family: Bacterial small subunit ribosomal RNA
Source: RNAcentral